GUUAAUAUAGUUUAAUAAAACAUUAGGUUGUGGACCUAAAGAUAGAAGUGAAACCCUUCUUAUAGACC
RNAcentral lists this transfer RNA (68 nucleotides) under Silvascincus tryoni. RNAcentral describes it as "tRNA-His". It matches the Rfam family "tRNA". Rfam says of the family: Transfer RNA (tRNA) molecules are approximately 80 nucleotides in length. Lineage: Eukaryota; Metazoa; Chordata; Lepidosauria; Squamata; Scincidae. The record is from RNAcentral.